UGAGCUGGACCUGAUGUGAACUAGACUAAAGUGAGCUGGACCUCAGGUGAACUGGAACUAAAGUUAACUAAACCUGAUGUUACUGCACCUGCAAGUAAAGUAGACCUAAAGGACUAUCUGGAAGUUUCAAGGACCAACAACACAUCUCGGUAUGACAAGCUAAGACUCGACUAUACAAACUGAUGAAACACCUCUGACCUGUGGGACAGGCUCAUAUGUGAUGCCAUCAACAGCAACUGAUGAAACACCUCUGACCUGUGGGAGGUUCAGGUUUCACUUCAUCAGAACCCAACCAUAAAGAGAGUCACCUAUCAACUGGAAUCAACUGAAUCUGACCAUCUUUCCCCGACCUUUAGGACGGGGUCAGAAGUCUAUUCUGGGAAGGAUGUUUUUGGACCAGCAUGCUUGUUUGUCCAGUGGUUCCAGGAGUCAAGAUCCUCUUGGGGGAGAACCCUGGCCCUCGGACCUGGCAUCAGCCAGGUUCAGGGACUCUCCAUUUUUUUUUCUUAUUGUUGCCCUCCUCCUUCAUCAACUGGAAUGGACAUUGUCAAGUCCAGCAUAAACAAAUGGAAAUGAAAUUGUAGAAGAAAAAUGGAAGAUUUUAAUGGUUUAUUAUGAGAAUACUGGACUGUAUUGAUGUAAUGUCUGUAUGUAUUGUCUCUUUUCAUGAGUCAUCUAUACAAUAGUCACUUACCAAUGUAAUUUGAAGAAUCAUCAACUGCAUUUGCCCCCUUUCCCCUACCCCUUUAGAACGGGGGUCAGAAGUCUGUUCUGGGAAAUGCCUUACUCUCGGAAUA
Molecule: long non-coding RNA, 797 nt
Organism: Homarus americanus (American lobster)
Lineage: Eukaryota; Metazoa; Arthropoda; Malacostraca; Decapoda; Nephropidae
Exons: 3
Source: RefSeq, a predicted model, not a curated record